UGUUGACAUGGCGAAUCAGUCAAAUCCAGCAAACAGACACCAAAUACAUUAUUCAAAUAUGAUUUAAUUAGUUAUUACUGGAAAAAAUCGCUGUCCAGUUAAAAUAUUAAUGAGUCGUUCAUCGUGUGUUAUGUUUUUUCUAGAGCGGCCAAGAUGAACUGGAAACUCUCCGCCACUCUUUUAUCACCAAGUUUUGAGUCAUACAAAUUGAUUGAACUCGAGCAAAUCAAUCUCAAGGGUCCACUGUCAUAAUCUUUGUUCUAUGGUAGGUUGUUGUCCAUAAAAUGGUCGGCAGUGACGAGGUAUGGAAUGCAGUGAUCAUAUAUUAAAAACGAAUAAAACAACUCUAAAGAACUACGACGUUGCGCAUCUGUACAUCUAUAGUCUAUGCCCUGGCGAGAUAAUAAUUGAACAAGCUGAUACACAGAGG
Pieris brassicae (large cabbage white) is the source of this 430-nucleotide long non-coding RNA. RefSeq lists it as uncharacterized. The transcript is spliced from 3 exons. NCBI's taxonomy places the organism in Eukaryota, Metazoa, Arthropoda, Insecta, Lepidoptera, Pieridae. The record is from RefSeq and is a predicted model, not a curated record.